AGUGUGGGCUUAGCAACCCUCAUCCUAGCUCUCUGGAAGCCAGUCUUCUCCUGUUUGCCUUCAGAACAAGAUGUAGAACUCUCAAUUCCUCCUACACCCUGCCUGCCUGGAUGCUGCCAUGCUCCUACAUUGAUGAUAAUGGACUGAACUUCUGAACCUGGUAUUUUCUUAGUGUUUGAUGUAGGAGGACCCAGCCAAUGACAUGUUUACUGUGACUGCAUAUUAUCCUGCAAACUAUAUAUGACCACAUCUUCCUCUUCCAUUUCUCUGGCCACCCUGGUAGGAGCCACAACUUCCAUAUUGUGAAUACUGCUACAGCAAACACUGAUGGGCUGGCAUCGUUGUCCAUUGGCACGGAGUCUUUCAGAACACCGUUUUCUGGAAGGUCUACCUUCCUCCCCACAUCCUCCUCCACCCAUCCCUUCCGGGCAUGGAUCUCCACCCCUGAACACCAGAGGAGAAGACUCCUUUCAAAGUUUGUAGUCAGGUCUCCAAGAAGAUAUGGUCUCCAAUACAACAAAAAACUACCUGGACUGUGAUAUGCUAACUGCUGGGCAAGCCUGUCCCAUUGACUCACCUGCUGCUAGGACCCAGCCUGAACUGUGGACAAACAGGACACCUAGAGAAUUAACUGUAUCACAUUGCCUAAGACAAAAUGAGCUUCAGAGAAUCCACUUGAACCUACCUAUUACAGGCCAAACGGACUCCAGGUAAGUAUUGUCACUCAACAGCCUGUUUCUCCACCUGCCUAUUCCUGAGAGUGGGAUUUAGUCCCCCUUUCC
Mus pahari (shrew mouse) is the source of this 782-nucleotide long non-coding RNA. RefSeq lists it as uncharacterized. The transcript is spliced from 5 exons. Lineage: Eukaryota; Metazoa; Chordata; Mammalia; Rodentia; Muridae. The record is from RefSeq and is a predicted model, not a curated record.